CACACACGUAAACAAGAUGGUUGCCGCGCUCCGGCACGGAAGAAGAUGCUAGCUUCCUGUAUUGCUCAACAAAAAUAAGCAGGCUGGAGGGACCCCUAUACAAUAACUAGCACUCCAUCAAACUGCAGUUAUAAAUCACAGCACCACGCUCAAGCAAAGACAAGAAUGAAAGAACCCCCAGCGGGCAAGCUAAUGCAACUAGCAGGAAACGAGAAGAACAGAUGAAAUGAGCCAGACCCUUUUUACGUUGGAGCUGGUGGAGAGUGCAGGAAAGCAUCAAAGAUAACACCGUGCUGACAGCCACUCAGGG
This is a long non-coding RNA of Dunckerocampus dactyliophorus (ringed pipefish), 310 nucleotides long. RefSeq lists it as uncharacterized. The record is from RefSeq and is a predicted model, not a curated record. The transcript has 3 exons. NCBI's taxonomy places the organism in Eukaryota, Metazoa, Chordata, Actinopteri, Syngnathiformes, Syngnathidae.